UGAGUAAUGCAAAAGUUGGUGAGAAUCUAAUGCCUCGAUAACCCAAGGGUUCCUCCGUAAGGUUUUUCCAUGAAGGGUGAGUCAGGGCCUAAGAUCAGGCCAAAAGGCGUAGUAGAUGGACAACAGGUGAAUAUUCCUGUACUACCCUUUGUUAGUCUCGAGGGAAGAAGGAGGCUAGGUUAGCCAAAAGAUGGUUAUCGGUUCAAGAAUGCAAGGUGCCCCUUCUUUUGAGGUUAAUAAAGGGUAGAGAAAAUGCCUCGAGCCAAAGUUCGAGUACUAGGCACUAUAGCGUUGAAGUAAAUCAUGCCAUACUCCUAGGAAAAGCUCGAACGACCUUCAACAAAUGGGUACUUGUAUCCGAAACCGACACAGGUGGGUAGGUAGAGAAUACCUAGGGGCCUAGGGGCGCGAGACAACUCUCUCUAAGGAACUUGGCAAAAUAGUCCCGUAACUUCGGGAGAAGGGGUGCCUCCUCACAAAGGGGGUUGUAGUGACCAGGCCCAAGUGACUGUUUACCAAAAACACAGGUCUCCACAAAGUCGUAAGACCAUGUAUGGGGGUUGACGCCUGCCCAUUGCCGGAAGGUCAAGGAAGUUGGUGACUUGAUGAUAGGGGAGCCGAAGAUCGAAGCCCUGGUGAAUGGCAGUUGUAACUAUAACAGUCCUAAGGUCGCAAAAUUCCUUGUCCGGCAAGUUCUAACAUGAUAAUGAUGAUGAUGAUGAUGAUGAUGAUGAUGAUGAUGAUGAUGA
This 749-nucleotide non-coding RNA is filed under the name Cajanus cajan (pigeon pea). RNAcentral describes it as "Bacterial large subunit ribosomal RNA". It matches the Rfam family "Bacterial large subunit ribosomal RNA", at positions 1303 to 2039 of the family's 2925-position model. Lineage: Eukaryota; Viridiplantae; Streptophyta; Magnoliopsida; Fabales; Fabaceae. The record is from Rfam by way of RNAcentral.